RNAcentral lists this long non-coding RNA (485 nucleotides) under Pan troglodytes (chimpanzee). Its description in RNAcentral is "lincRNA". Lineage: Eukaryota; Metazoa; Chordata; Mammalia; Primates; Hominidae. The record is from RNAcentral.
AGCAAUUAGUGAGACUCCGUGGGCGUAGGACCCUCCGAGCCAGGUGCGGAUAUAAUCUCGUGGUGCACCGUUUUUUAAGCCCGUCGGAAAAGCGGAGUAUUCGGGUGGGAGUGACCCGAUUUUCCAGGUGCUGUCCGUCACCCCUUUCUUUGACUGGGAAAGGGAACUCCCUGACCCCUUGCGCUUCCCAAGUGAGGCAAUGCCUCGCCCUGCUUCGGCUCGCGCAAGGUGAGUGCACCCACUGACCUGCGCCCACUGUCUGGCGCUCCCUAGUGAGAUGAACCCGGUACCUCAGAUGGAAAUGCAGAAAUCACCGUCUUCUGCGUGGCUCACGCUGGGAGCUGUAGACCGGAGCUGUUCCUAUUCGGCCAUCUUGGCUCCAAAAUCCAGCCAUAUUUUGAGAUUCUCCUAUGUACCUGAAUCUUCAGAGAGCAUAGGAGACGGACAAACUCCCUGACCAAGGAAUGGGAGACUGGAGGAACCCG